UUGACGAAGAGGAGUACGAAAAGAAACUGGCGGAAGUCUUCGAAGGAGAUAAACUGGCAGCGGCAAAGAAAGUAUCGGCCACGUCUAAAGAAUGUUUCCGGAAGCAGUUCAUGAGUCGGAAAGAGUGACACGUAUGAGUGGUUACCGAAUACGUCUGGAAAUGACAAAGACAUGUACCUUUCGUCUGUACUGCAGUACAGAGUAAUAAAGAUCCCUAUGUUACUGA
Ornithodoros turicata is the source of this 226-nucleotide long non-coding RNA. RefSeq lists it as uncharacterized. Lineage: Eukaryota; Metazoa; Arthropoda; Arachnida; Ixodida; Argasidae. The record is from RefSeq and is a predicted model, not a curated record. The transcript has 3 exons.